UGCCGCGUGUGUGAAGAAGGCCUUCGGGUUGUAAAGCACUUUUGUCCGGAAAGAAAAGCAUUCGGUUAAUAACCGGGUGUCAUGACGGUACCGGAAGAAUAAGCACCGGCUAACUUCGUGCCAGCAGCCGCGGUAAUACGAAGGGUGCAAGCGUUACUCGGAAUUACUGGGCGUAAAGCGUGCGUAGGUGGUUCGUUAAGUCUGAUGUGAAAGCCCUGGGCUCAACCUGGGAAUGGCAUUGGAUACUGGCGACCUAGAGUGCGGUAGAGGGGUGUGGAAUUCCCGGUGUAGCAGUGAAAUGCGUAGAUAUCGGGAGGAACAUCUGUGGCGAAGGCGACACCCUGGACCAGCACUGACACUGAGGCACGAAAGCGUGGGGAGCAAACAGGAUUAGAUACCCUGGUAGUCCACGCCCUAAACGAUGCGAACUGGAUGUUGGGUGCAACUUGGCACUCAGUAUCGAAGCUAACGCGUUAAGUUCGCCGCCUGGGAAGUACGGUCGCAAGACUGAAACUCAAAGGAAUUGACGGGGGCCCGCACAAGCGGUGGAGUAUGUGGUUUAAUUCGAUGCAACGCGAAGAACCUUACCUGGCCUUGACAUGUCGCGAAUCCCUGAGAGAUC
Molecule: ribosomal RNA, 622 nt
Filed under: Lysobacter sp. So2Pw_1299
Lineage: Bacteria; Pseudomonadati; Pseudomonadota; Gammaproteobacteria; Lysobacterales; Lysobacteraceae
Description: bacterial SSU rRNA
Rfam family: Bacterial small subunit ribosomal RNA
Source: RNAcentral